CAGUAGCCGCGGGAAUACGUAGGGUGCAAGCGUUAAUCGGAAUUACUGGGCGUAAAGCGUGCGUAGGCGGUUUUGACAGUCAGAUGUGAAAUUCCUGGGCUUAACCUGGGGGCUGCAUUUGAGACGUCAAGACUAGAGUGUGAGAGAGGGUUGUGGAAUUCCCAGUGUAGAGGUGAAAUUCGUAGAUAUUCGGAGGAACACCAGUGGCGAAGGCGGCUCACUGGUCCAUUACUGACGCUGAGGUGCGAAAGCGUGGGGAGCAAACAGGAUUAGAUACCCCCGUAGUCCCUGUCUCUUAUAC
RNAcentral lists this ribosomal RNA (301 nucleotides) under uncultured bacterium. RNAcentral describes it as "partial 16S ribosomal RNA". It matches the Rfam family "Bacterial small subunit ribosomal RNA", at positions 509 to 807 of the family's 1533-position model. The record is from RNAcentral.